This 545-nucleotide ribosomal RNA is filed under the name uncultured bacterium. RNAcentral's name for it is "bacterial SSU rRNA". It matches the Rfam family "Bacterial small subunit ribosomal RNA", at positions 777 to 1319 of the family's 1533-position model. The record is from RNAcentral.
AAUAGAUACCCCGGUAGUCCACGCCGUAAACGAUGAGUGCUAAGUGUUAGGGGGUUUCCGCCCCUUAGUGCUGCAGCUAACGCAUUAAGCACUCCGCCUGGGGAGUACGGUCGCAAGACUGAAACUCAAAGGGAAUUGACGGGGGCCCGCACAAGCGGUGGAGCAUGUGGUUUAAUUCGAAGCAACGCGAAGAACCUUACCAGGUCUUGACAUCCCAUUGACCGCUAUGGAGACAUAGCUUUCCCUUCGGGGACAGUGGUGACAGGUGGUGCAUGGUCGUCGUCAGCUCGUGUCGUGAGAUGUUGGGUUAAGUCCCGCAACGAGCGCAACCCUUGUUCUUAGUUGCCAUCAUUUAGUUGGGCACUCUAAGGAGACUGCCGGUGACAAACCGGAGGAAGGUGGGGAUGACGUCAAAUCAUCAUGCCCCUUAUGACCUGGGCUACACACGUGCUACAAUGGACGGUACAAACGGUUGCCAACCCGCGAGGGGGAGCUAAUCCGAUAAAACCGUUCUCAGUUCGGAUUGUAGGCUGCAACUCGCCUAC